Molecule: transfer RNA, 76 nt
Filed under: Pseudonocardia sp.
Lineage: Bacteria; Bacillati; Actinomycetota; Actinomycetes; Pseudonocardiales; Pseudonocardiaceae
Description: tRNA-Trp
Rfam family: tRNA
About the family: Transfer RNA (tRNA) molecules are approximately 80 nucleotides in length. Their secondary structure includes four short double-helical elements and three loops (D, anti-codon, and T loops).
Source: RNAcentral
AUGGGUGUAGCUCAACUGGAAGAGCACCGGUCUCCAAAACCGGCCGUUGAGGGUUCAAGUCCUUCCACCCAUGCCA